Molecule: transfer-messenger RNA, 354 nt
Filed under: Acidobacteriota bacterium
Lineage: Bacteria; Pseudomonadati; Acidobacteriota
Also listed under: 1 other name
Description: Acidobacteria bacterium (groundwater metagenome) transfer-messenger RNA
Rfam family: transfer-messenger RNA
About the family: Bacterial tmRNA, also known as 10Sa RNA or SsrA, is named for its dual tRNA and mRNA-like properties. Its role is to liberate the mRNA from a stalled ribosome.
Source: RNAcentral
GGGGGCGAAAUUGGCUUCGACGAGGGUACAGAAUCGCGGGAUGCAUGCCGAGCUCCAUUGACUCGUAAAUCCGAUGGAACAUCCGUUAACUGCGGAUUCUAACUACGCUCUCGCAGCCUAAUAAGCUGUGAGCGUCUGCCCCGACCUCGCCUGGUGGUUGGGGGUCAGGCGCCAUUAAACAGGCUGGCGGUCAGGCGGCGGCUCGGCGCUUGGCCGUGAGAUGCACCGGGUCUGGUGUCCGGCGGUUUUGGCCGCCUCCUCACGCCGGGCACGAGAAUUCAGAAGCGGACACGCAUGUAGAGUCCUGUGGGGACGUGCUUUCGGACGCGGGUUCGACUCCCGCCGCCUCCACCA